GGCUCAAUGACUUUGACAGCAGUGAUAACAGAGUGCCGGAAGGUAGAUUCAGAUGACUUUCUGCUUGGCCCUCCUGUUUAUGUCCUUGGUUUUUAUAAAAUGUCAUUGGGUCAAGGUUUUGGCCAGAGAAUAGCAAGGAUGACUUAUCUCUGCUCCACUAUGUCUGGAACCUCUUGGAAUCAUUUGGAGUCUUCUUCACUCUCUUGCCUGGCACCUGGACUGGGAAAACUUGGAACCCACUGGGACUGUUGACCAAAGCACAAACAUGUGGCCUCUUCAUGUGGCUUGGGCUUUCCACAGCAUGGAGGCUGAUUUCUGAGGAGAGGCCCAAAAAUAAUAUACACAAAGAGAGAAGCAGAUGGAAUUUUGAGAGAGAAAAGGAGGAGGUAAAAUGAAGACAGGCAGAGAUGGGAGUGGUGCAGCCAAGAGCCAAGCAACACCUGGCGCCACCAGCAGCUGGAAGAGGAAAAGAAGAGAUUUAUCUCCAGAGUCUUAGGAGGAAGCACAGCAGUGCUUUAAUUUUGGACUUCUGGCUUCCACAAUAAGAAGAGAAUAAAUCGAUGUUGCCUUAGUCCAUCCAGUUUAUGGUAAUUUGUUACAGCACUCUAGGAAACUAAUACAACAAACAAGGCCUGACUGAACAGAGUGGAAAGUUAGCAGAGAGGAAGGAGAGGUGAGACCCUUCUCUUGGCCUAGUGAGAUCUGUUCCCUUAUUGUAGAAGAAAUGUGGGACUCUCUUCUUUUGUGACAUAUGACAAAGUUUUGGCAGGUGGGAAGGAGUGGAGGGCUUUUCAACCUUUUGGGCUAGAUUUCAUCAGUGAUUCCAUGGCAAAGGCUAAAUGUGUUUCAGCACUAUGUUUAAAGUCUGCUGGUUUUACACAUUCAAAUUCUACCCCAACUCAUAUUUCCUGCCUGCUUCUAUCUGUAUUCUCCAGACACAGCAUCAUCUCUCACAUUCUGAAAUAAAAGUGA
RNAcentral lists this long non-coding RNA (972 nucleotides) under Homo sapiens (human). Its description in RNAcentral is "HSALNT0242682". Lineage: Eukaryota; Metazoa; Chordata; Mammalia; Primates; Hominidae. The record is from RNAcentral.